Molecule: ribosomal RNA, 322 nt
Filed under: uncultured Streptococcus sp.
Lineage: Bacteria; Bacillati; Bacillota; Bacilli; Lactobacillales; Streptococcaceae
Description: bacterial SSU rRNA
Rfam family: Bacterial small subunit ribosomal RNA
Source: RNAcentral
AGCUCGUGUCGUGAGAUGUUGGUUAAGUCCGCCACGAGCGCAACCCCUAUUGUUAGUUGCCAUCAUUCAGUUGGGCACUCUAGCGAGACUGCCGGUAAUAAACCGGAGGAAGGUGGGGAUGACGUCAAAUCAUCAUGCCCCUUAUGACCUGGGCUACACACGUGCUACAAUGGUUGGUACAACGAGUUGCGAGUCGGUGACGGCGAGCUAAUCUCUUAAAGCCAAUCUCAGUUCGGAUUGUAGGCUGCAACUCGCCUACAUGAAGUCGGAAUCGCUAGUAAUCGCGGAUCAGCACGCCGCGGUGAAUACGUUCCCGGGCCUU